This 369-nucleotide ribosomal RNA is filed under the name uncultured bacterium. RNAcentral's name for it is "partial 16S ribosomal RNA". It matches the Rfam family "Bacterial small subunit ribosomal RNA", at positions 338 to 724 of the family's 1533-position model. The record is from RNAcentral.
CCUACGGGAGGCAGCAGUGGGGGAUAUUUCACAAUGGGCGGAACCCUGAUGCAGCGACGCCGCGUGGGUGAUGGAGCGCUUCGGCGCGUAAAGCCCUAUCGUCAGCGAGAAAGAUGACGGUACCUGAUCAAGAAGCCCCGGCUAACUACGUGCCAGCAGCCGCGGUCAUACGUAAGGGGCGAGCGUUAUCCGGAUUUACUGGGUGUAAAGGGGGCGAAGACGGAGAUGCAAGAGAGAUGGGAAAGCGCGGGGUCCAACCCCCAGACUGUUCUUGCAACUGUAUGGCUCGAGAACAGGAGGGGCAGGUGGAAUUUCUAGUGUAGGGGUGAAAUGCGUAGAUAUUAGGAGGAACACCGAUGGCGAAGGCGG